Long non-coding RNA from Mya arenaria, 1398 nucleotides. RefSeq lists it as uncharacterized. NCBI's taxonomy places the organism in Eukaryota, Metazoa, Mollusca, Bivalvia, Myida, Myidae. The record is from RefSeq and is a predicted model, not a curated record. The transcript has 3 exons.
AUAUCGGCACGACAUCGGCCCGAUAUGGGCAUAUUGACUGAAACAUUGUAUGCGUAAUAAUACUAUCUGAUUUAAAUUUGAAUGUUUAAACAUAAUGACAUAAAUAAUAGCUUUAAUUUUUUCAUGGACAAAUACCUUUUUGUAAAUAUGUCAAUAUCGGGCCGACAUUGGGCCGAUGUAUACGUGGUAUUGCUUCAAGGGAGAGCAAUGCAUAUGUUGCAACUUUCACUAGCAGUUCAUUUCCCUGGCGAUUAAUAAAUAUUUAAAUUCAUUAUCAUUAAGUAAUAGAACCAACUUAAGUUUAUAUUGUUAUUUUUUUUAAUUAAUUCUGUAAUUAAAAGUUUCAGUUCAUGUUUAUUUGAUUUUUUUUCUACGAAAUUAUUUAGUUUUAUAUUCACUGCGGUACAAAGAUUAUGAUGAAAGUCAAAUCAUAUUUUUGGUUUUAAUCAAUGGUAAGUACUAUUUGAAUUGUUGUUGAGCGAAUAGAUAUAAGGAAUUAUUAUAGUACUAUUCUGUUAUAAAUACUUUUAUUUCGAGUAAAUAUGUUGAAAAGGAAUUCGUGUAAUAUAUUUUCGUGACUAGUUCUCUUUGUUGUUUUAUGAGUUUGAUUAAAAUCAUCAUUUAGGUAGCAUGUGCACACAAAAGCAAAGUAUUACAUUAAUGAUUUGGUUGGGUUUGAACGAUUAAUUUAUCCGCUUCCAUUUUAGACAAACUUAAAAUGAACAAUUUGUUAUCAAUUAUGAAUCAUAAUUGACACAUUUUAAUUUACAGUUUCGUAUAUUGUGGAAAGAUCGAAGUUGCAGAGAGCGGACAACUGCAAAUUGAGACUCUGAAAAUGAGGAAUAAAGGCCAGCAUAGGGGAGAGGAAGAGUGUUUUAAUCAGAUGAGGCUGAAUAAGUGUCAGUGACAACACUACCAAGGCAUUUGAAUGUGACAGUGGCAAUGGCAGAACUGUUCUGCAAGCAUCACAACAGUUACUACAAGAUCCCCCAACAGUUGCACCAUCUCUACAGAGGCUGUCGUGAAAUUCCUUCGUUUCCCACAGGACAGGUACGAGAGACAUAUGCCGCCUGGAUAGGGAGAGCUUCGGACAGAGAUGGUGGAAGGGAAAUUAGGAGGGAAAUGAGGCAGGCACAGAUGUCUGAGUGCAUCCUUGGAACUCCGGGAUGAAAAAACAGAACAAUAUUAUGUUAAAAACCCUUAAUGUUUAAUGCAGGAGCUUUACCUUAAGUAUUGUUCUAUGAAAUAACUCUUAUUUCAAGUCUUAUUUUGUUUGUUUAUUUAUACAGUGACAGUAUGUGUGUAUUAUGGCAUACCUAUGUAUUGUUACUUGUACAUUUUGAUAAUACUGUUCUGGGGUGUUAUCCACAUUCUGUGAUAACCCUAUUGUUAAAAUGU